UAAAAGGACCUUUUCAGGGCCACCCACAAAUUGAUUUAAAUUCAUU
This is a non-coding RNA of Schistosoma mattheei, 46 nucleotides long. The record is from Rfam. NCBI's taxonomy places the organism in Eukaryota, Metazoa, Platyhelminthes, Trematoda, Strigeidida, Schistosomatidae.